This 867-nucleotide long non-coding RNA is filed under the name Homo sapiens (human). RNAcentral describes it as "HSALNT0299125". Lineage: Eukaryota; Metazoa; Chordata; Mammalia; Primates; Hominidae. The record is from RNAcentral.
GAGACUGCGCUGCUCCAGCCCGGGAAAAGUUCUAGAAUAGAGGCGCGGCGCAAGUCAGGGGGCCGCCUUGGAAACCGCAGCAAGGGCUCCUUGUGGGCUCCAGGCUGUUGGAGAGUGAGGGAGCCUCCUCCCCUUUCCUUCCCGUGGAGUAAACAGAGCUUGGCAGGGCUGGAGGCUUUCUUCCUUUUAAAAAGUGCCAUUCUGAACAACGAUACAAAGUGAAAAAAUAAAUUUUUUAAAAAAGAAAGGGAAAAACUACAAUUUGACCAUUCUGACCAGCCUCCUUGUUCCAACUGGCCUCUUGAUUUGUAUAAAGAUAAUGGGGUCCGGCGGCCCCCUUGAUGCAUGAAUUGCACGCUGGGCAUAAUGAACUUAUUGUGCGAAAGCACUUUGGACUUCGGACUGUGUUCCUAUGUCAGAAUUUUACUGUGGUUUGUAAGAUAAACUGGAAGGAAACAAACUCGUGGUUAACUCUUGUCAAUACGUGUCUUGAACCAAGCAAAGUGACAUUUCCUACCUGUGGCUUUGACUUUAAGCUGCACAAAAGCUCACACAUACAGUCGGCUCAGGCAGACGGCCCAAGACAAGCCUGUGCCAAAGAAAUGCUGAUUUAGUCUGACCCAGACAAUCUCUACUCCCACAUGUCACUUCUCUGCAGAACUCUUACUAGUAUGGCAAAUACUUUAAAAAUCAUACAAUAAAAGAAGGCAAAACCUCAGUAAUUUGAGGUUCACUUUUAAUAAACUCUUUCCAUGCAUUAAAAUAAAUUGAGGCCCUGAGCUCUGGCGAAAUGUUUCCGGGUUUUUAAUUCCCACCGCCCCCCCACCCCGGAGGCAUAAAUAGCCACAUACGCAAUUCAAAGUACUC